RNAcentral lists this ribosomal RNA (253 nucleotides) under uncultured bacterium. RNAcentral's name for it is "partial 16S ribosomal RNA". It matches the Rfam family "Bacterial small subunit ribosomal RNA", at positions 524 to 776 of the family's 1533-position model. The record is from RNAcentral.
UACGUAGGAUGCAAGCGUUGUCCGGAUUUACUGGGCGUAAAGCGCGCGCAGGCGGCACUCUAAGUACGUCGUGAAAUAUCCCGGCUCAACCGGGAGGGUGCGAUGUAGACUAGGGAGCUAGAGGUCGGUAGAGGGGGGUGGAAUUGCUGGUGUAGCGGUGAAAUGCGUAGAUAUCAGGAGGAACACCUGUGGUGUAGACAGCUUACUGGACCACUUCUGACGCUGAGACACGAAAGCGUGGGUAGCAAACAGG